CAGUAGUACUGGCCCUGGGUGAAAGCACGAGAACUGGCCCGAUCCCUGCUGUCUGCUACAUUGGGUGAGAUGGCUGGGGCAGUGCAAGAGAACUCACCCGAGUGGUGAUGAUGAAAAACUGGUGGGCUGACCAACCAAGCUACCACUGAGGCCCAGAACCAGGCCUAUGGCGUAUCCAACCCCAAUAUCCACCUCAUCUAUGAACACAAGCAACUUUCAUCAUCCAUUGAAGAGGCAAAGGGGACAUCCAGGACACCAUUUAUAACUACUGCAGGGCCAUAGAAUUCCUAAGGAACUCAGGUCUCAAACAACAAAGAAAAGAAACAGAAAAAAGAACUCCACAGUUUCAACACAAGGAUAGAGAGUCAUUAUAUAUCUGUGGGAGUGGCUAGACUCACAAUGUGAGGUCCUUUCCUGAUGGCUUCUAAAGUGGGAGAGAGAGAAGAUAUUUAACCAUUAUUCAAUUUUAAGGUUAAAACAGUAGUAGAUCUGUCUCUCUUUUAAGGUUGUAAAAGUGUGCUGGCUAUACUUUUUAUAUCAACUUGAUGCA
This is a non-coding RNA of Myodes glareolus (Bank vole), 550 nucleotides long. NCBI's taxonomy places the organism in Eukaryota, Metazoa, Chordata, Mammalia, Rodentia, Cricetidae. The record is from RefSeq and is a predicted model, not a curated record.